GAAAGCAUGCAAGUCAGAGGGUGAAGGAUGGAGGUGAAGAUGGACGGCUGAGAGGGAAGGGAGAGAGAUAAACGACUGAGAGGGAAGAGAGACAGAUGGCUGAGAGGGAAGGGAGAGAGAUAAACGUCUGAGAGGGAAGAGAGAGAGAGAGAUGGACGGCUGAGAGGGAAGGGAGAGAGAUAAACGACUGAGAGAGAAGAGAGAGAGAGAUAAACGACUGAGAGGGAAGAGAGAGAGACAGAUGGCUGAGAGGGAAGAGAGAGAGAUAAACGGCUGAGAGGGAAGGGAGAGAGACGGACGGCUGAGAGGGAAGGGAGAGAGACGGACGGCUGAGAGGGAAGGGAGAGAGACGGACGGCUGAGAGGGAAGGAGAGAGACGGACGGCUGAGAGGGAAGAGAGAGAGAUAAACGACUGAGAGAGAAGAGAGAGAGAGAUAAACGACUGAGAGGGAAGAGAGAGAGACAGAUGGCUGAGAGGGAAGAGAGAGAGAUAAAUGGCUAAGAGGGAAGAGAGAGAGACGGAUGGCUGAGAGGGAAGAGAGAGAGACGGACAGCUGAGAGGGAAGGGAGAGAGAUAAACGGCUGAGAGGGAAGGGAGAGAGACGGACGGCUGAGAGGGAAGAGAGAGAGAUAAACGACUGAGAGGGAAGAGAGAGAGACGGACGGCUGAGAGGGAAGAGAGAGAGAUAAACGGCUGAGAGGGAAGGGAGAGAGAUAAACGACUGAGAGGGAAGAGAGAGACGGACAGCUGAGAGGGAAGAGAGAGAGAUAAACGGCUAAGAGGGAAGAGAGAGACGGACAGCUGAGAGGGAAGAGAGAGAGAUAAACGACUGAGAGGGAAGAGAGAGAGACGGACGGCUGAGAGGGAAGAGAGAGAGAUAAACGACUGAGAGGGAAGAGAGAGAGACGGAUGGCUGAGAGGGAAGAGAGAGAGACGGACAGCUGAGAGGGAAGGGAGAGAGAUAAACGGCUGAGAGGGAAGGGAGAGAGAUAAACGACUGAGAGGCAAGGGAGAGAGAUAAACGACUGAGAGGGAAGAGAGAGACGGACAGCUGAGAGGGAAGAGAGAGAUAAACGGCUGAGAGGGAAGGGAGAGAGAAAGACCGCUGAGAGGGAAGGGAGAGAGAUAAACGGCUAAGAGGGAAGAGAGAGACAGACAGCUGAGAGGGAAGAGAGAGAGAUAAACGGCUAAGAGGGAAGAGAGAGAGACGGAUGGCUGAGAGGGAAGAGAGAGAGACGGACAGCUGAGAGGGAAGGGAGAGAGACGGACGGCUGAGAGGGAAGAGAGAGAGAAGGACCGCUGAGAGGGAAGGGAGAGAGAUAAACGUCUGAGAGGGAAGAGAGAGAGAGACGGACGGCUGAGAGGGAAGAGAGAGAGAUAAACGACUGAGAGGGAAGAGAGAGACGGACAGCUGAGAGGGAAGAGAGAGAAGGACGGCUGAGAGGGAAGGGAGAGAGAUAAACGGCUGAGAGGGAAGAGAGAGAGACGGAUGGCUGAGAGGGAAGAGAGAGAGAUAAACGGCUGAGAGGGAAGAGAGAGAGAGACGGACAGCUGAGAGGGAAGAGAGAGACGGACAGCUGAAAGGGAAAGGAGAGAGAUAAACGGCUGAGGGAAGAGAGAGAGAUAAACGGCUGAGAGGGAAGGGAGAGAGAGACAGAUGGCUGAGAGGGAAGAGAGAGAUAAACGGCUGAGAGGGAAGGGAGAGAGAAAAAUGGCUGAGAGGGAAGAGAGAGAGAUAAACGGCUGAGAGGGAAGAGCAAGAG
This is a long non-coding RNA of Antechinus flavipes (yellow-footed antechinus), 1764 nucleotides long. RefSeq lists it as uncharacterized. Lineage: Eukaryota; Metazoa; Chordata; Mammalia; Dasyuromorphia; Dasyuridae. The transcript has 2 exons. The record is from RefSeq and is a predicted model, not a curated record.